Molecule: ribosomal RNA, 458 nt
Filed under: uncultured bacterium
Lineage: Bacteria
Description: bacterial SSU rRNA
Rfam family: Bacterial small subunit ribosomal RNA
Source: RNAcentral
GAUUCUGGCUCAGAACGAACGCUGGCGGCAGGCCUAACACAUGCAAGUCGAGCGCGCCCUUCGGGGUGAGCGGCGGACGGGUUAGUAACGCGUGGGAACGUACCCUUUGGUAGGGAAUAGCCACUGGAAACGGUGAGUAAUACCCUAUGAGCCCUUCGGGGGAAAGAUUUAUCGCCAAAGGAUCGGCCCGCGUUAGAUUAGGUAGUUGGUGGGGUAAUGGCCUACCAAGCCUACGAUCUAUAGCUGGUUUUAGAGGAUGAUCAGCAACACUGGGACUGAGACACGGCCCAGACUCCUACGGGAGGCAGCAGUGGGGAAUCUUGGACAAUGGGGGCAACCCUGAAUCCAGCCAUGCCGCGUGAGUGAAGAAGGCCUUAGGGUCGUAAAGCUCUUUCGCCUGUGAAGAUAAUGACGGUAGCAGGUAAAGAAACCCCGGCUAACUCCGUGCCAGCCGCCGC